Molecule: transfer RNA, 61 nt
Filed under: Naegleria gruberi
Lineage: Eukaryota; Heterolobosea; Eutetramitea; Acrasida; Naegleriidae
Rfam family: tRNA
About the family: Transfer RNA (tRNA) molecules are approximately 80 nucleotides in length. Their secondary structure includes four short double-helical elements and three loops (D, anti-codon, and T loops).
Source: Rfam by way of RNAcentral
GGCGACAUAGCUCAGUUGGGAGAGCGUAAGACUGAAGAUCUUAAGAUCCCUGGUGUCGGCA